Notechis scutatus (mainland tiger snake) is the source of this 1054-nucleotide non-coding RNA. Lineage: Eukaryota; Metazoa; Chordata; Lepidosauria; Squamata; Elapidae. The record is from RefSeq and is a predicted model, not a curated record.
GAACAGAGAGUGAAGGGAGGCGGGCUGUCUAAAGGCAGAAGCCAAUCAAAUGGAGGAAGAGAAGAAGAAAAAGAAGAAGAAGAAAUGGAAGGGCGAGGAUUAAAAAAAGGAAACGCUGUUUCCCACCCGCCACCGACGGGAGAAAGCUCGGCCAAUCAGAAUGGAAGGCUACCUUCUGUGCCCAACCAUGUUAUCUGCCUUUCCUGAGUUGGAUGAGGAGAGCACAUCUUUCUCCUGUUCUGGCCACUCUUUACAGAGGCAUGAUUGAGUGCAUUUUAACAAACUACAUCACUGUUUGGUUUGGUGGCAGCAGUGCCUCAGAGAGAAAGUCCAUUCAGAGAGUGGUAAGGACAGCCGAGAAGAUUAUAGGAAGCUCUCUUCCCGCCAUUCAGGAUACUGCUUAUAAGUGCUAUGUGCUUAGAGCUCAAAGCAUUGUCAGACACACACACACACACACACCCAUUUCACGGUCUUUUUCUGUUGCUCCCCCUCUGGGAGGCGGUUUCAAAGUAUUUCUAGCAAGACUACCAAAUUCUGUAACAGCUUUGUUCCUAUGCUAUUCUGGUAAACUCACAAGAUUUGUUUUUCUCGCCAUGUACAUGUAUACAUCCAAACUAGACAGUGUUGAUUCUCUGUCAUAUAAUACAUGUGGGUAUACAGUAUGUAUAAUUUUGUAUUUAUUUACUUAAUUGUUUUGUCAUGUUUAUGUUUACUGGAGAUGGUGAGCCUUUGAGAGCUGUAUGCAACCAAAAUUUCAUUUUAAUGUAUGCUGAUUAGUGUACAUUCAAAGUGACAAAAUUAUUCUAAGUAUAAGUUAUCUGUGCCAUCCACAAGAGGAAAAAAAAGAGAUUGCUGAAUAACUCUACAUUGAAGAUAUAGAGCUUGCUGACCCUCCCUCAAGGGCAAACUACUUUUGGUAGAAAGGGAGAGAGGGUGUUCUUUGAGCCCAAAUGAGAUGGUUUGCCCUGAAGCACACAAUAAUUCAAAUUAUCUGUAUGCCAAAUAAAUUUGACUUCCUUUUUUCCACACUCAACCAUUCUUUCACAGUCAGGGG